This 440-nucleotide ribosomal RNA is filed under the name uncultured bacterium. Its description in RNAcentral is "partial 16S ribosomal RNA". It matches the Rfam family "Bacterial small subunit ribosomal RNA", at positions 338 to 795 of the family's 1533-position model. The record is from RNAcentral.
CCUACGGGUGGCAGCAGUGGGGAAUAUUGCACAAUGGGGGAAACCCUGAUGCAGCGACGCCGCGUGAGUGAAGAAGUAUCUCGGUAUGUAAAGCUCUAUCAGCAGGGAAGAAAAUGACGGUACCUGACUAAGAAGCCCCGGCUAACUACGUGCCAGCAGCCGCGGUAAUACGUAGGGGGCAAGCGUUAUCCGGAUUUACUGGGUGUAAAGGGAGCGUAGACGGCGCUGCAAGUCCGGAGUGAAAGCCCAUGGCUUAACCAUGGUACUGCUCUGGAAACUGGCAGACUUGAGUUGGCGAGAAGUACGCGGAAUGCGCGGUGUAGCGGUGAAAUGCAUAGAUAUCGCGCAGAACUCCGAUUGCGAAGGCAGCGUACCGGCGCCAGACUGACGCUGAGGCACGAAAGCGUGGGGAUCGAACAGGAUUAGAUACCCUUGUAGUC